GACUACUGGGGUAUCUAAUCCUGUUUGCUCCCCACGCUUUCGCACCUCAGCGUCAGUAUUGGCCCAGGUCGCCGCCUUCGCCACUGGUGUUCCUCCCGAUAUCUACGAAUUUCACCUCUACACCGGGAAUUCCGCGACCCUCUUCCAUACUCAAGCCUCUCAGUUUCGAAAGCACUUCCUGGGUUGAGCCCAGGGCUUUCACUUCCGACUUAAGAGACCGCCUACGCGCGCUUUACGCCCAAUGAUUCCGAGCAACGUUUGCACCCUCCGUAUUACCGCGGCUGCUGGCACGGAGUUAGCCGGUGCUUGCUAAGGAGGUACCGUCAAUUCAGGCCGGUAUUAGCGUCCUGCUUUUCGUCCCUCCCCACAGAGCUUUACGACCCGAAGGCCUUCAUCACUCACGCGGCAUGGCUGGAUCAGGCUUUCGCCCAUUGUCCAAUAUUCCCCACUGCAGCCGCCCGUAGG
This 465-nucleotide ribosomal RNA is filed under the name uncultured Myxococcales bacterium. Its description in RNAcentral is "partial 16S ribosomal RNA". The record is from RNAcentral. Lineage: Bacteria; Pseudomonadati; Myxococcota; Myxococcia; Myxococcales.